RNAcentral lists this ribosomal RNA (261 nucleotides) under Triticum aestivum (bread wheat). RNAcentral describes it as "partial small subunit ribosomal RNA". Lineage: Eukaryota; Viridiplantae; Streptophyta; Magnoliopsida; Poales; Poaceae. The record is from RNAcentral.
UGCAAUUAUCUCAUUAUUAACUCUCAUAACAUGAAAGUUCUUGACACAAUGAAGAAUAAAGGACAUUCUGCAGGAGUGGCGGUGUCAGUUUUUGAUUAUUGCUAUUUUAUGGCUUGUGAUUUUCCUCUUACUGGUUUUGAACAUUGUAAUAGAGAACCGAAUAAAGUAGCUCGUGAACUUGCUAGGUUAGCGAAAUGUUCUGUCGGAGCCUAUGAAAAAUAUUGCACCUCUUCUUAUAGACGAUGUAACCAUUGUUUCUAA